UAGAACUCUCAUACGCUUAUUGAUUAGCUUAUUGAUUAUGGGUCAGAUUAAAAUGGGCCUUGAAUUAUUUUAGUUAGCUCCAUAUGUUAUAUGAAUAAAUUCUCGAUUUGUGUGUAAAACUCGAAAAUCUUCAAGCAACCCUGUUCCAACAGCGAAAUUUUAGCCCUGUGAAACAAUCCCCAGGGACUGUGAGAAUAUGAAUUGAUUUUAAAGGAUGGCUGGUUAUUAAUGUGAUCAUUUCAGGAAUUUUGCUAAAUAGGGGGUCAAUAUAAACCAACAAAAAUUACCCAUACUCACCAUCAAGAGGUAGUCGUGGUAAUUUAUUUUUGUAUUUCCUUCAAUUCUUUUCUAAGCUUUUUUUUUCAACUUUUAUUUUAGAAUUGGGGGUAUGCAUGCAGGUUAGCUGCAAAGGUAUAUUGAGUGAUGUUGAGGUUUAGAGUAUGAAUCAAUCUUUCACCGAGGUAGUGGGCAUAAGAUCCAAAAAAUAGUUUUUUAGCCCUGCCUCUCACCCUCUUU
Molecule: long non-coding RNA, 516 nt
Filed under: Homo sapiens (human)
Lineage: Eukaryota; Metazoa; Chordata; Mammalia; Primates; Hominidae
Description: non-protein coding lnc-GPR39-15:1
Source: RNAcentral